UGACCCCUAUUGCCUAGCCCUUACCUCUCUUCUGCCUUGGAACCAAUAUGCAGUAUUGACUCUGAGACAGAAGGUAAGGGUUAAAAAAAAAAGACUAUAAAACUAGCAGACCUGGAACUAAAAACUAGGGCAGGGGACAAGGAUUCCUUUGGAUUACAAUUGAGAAUGAAUUCUUCAGAACGGCUACCCGUUCUAGCUCUGGAACAAGCCAGAAAUCCCUGGAAAGCAGCCCACGGUCAUGAUAUGAGAGCCCCAAAAGAAAGCACAAGGGUGAUCCCCAAUUCCCCAGCAAGAGAAGAUGUGGGCUGUUGCUCUUCACCUCCAUGACCCCACAGCCCACCACGAUCCAUGAGGUUUUCUUGGCAAGGAUAGCAGAGCAGUUUGCCAUUUCCUUUUCCAGUGGGUCCGCGACAAGGGAAGCGACAGUCCCACUGUUCUCAGUUCUGGUCAGAGCGCCGCACUAGAAUUUUUCUAUUGCCUUUUAGACCCACAGGGCGGGGAGCAAAGGGACACACUGGAGCCUAGUCAAAGGCCGCUGCUCGAGAUGCUCACGGGACUUUGGCCUGGGAGGAUUGGUGGGAGGAACUUCAGAUGUUUAACCAGGAAAUGGGCAGACUGGGGGAGGGAAGGCAUGGUGGCUGUUUCAAAUUAUGUGAAGGGUUUUCAUGGGAGAGGAGGAGGAUUAGGCUUAUUUUCCUUAGUUCCCGAGGGCACAACCAGGAGGAAAUUGCAAAGAGGCCGACUGCAGCUUGGCGGAAGCUGAAACUUUCUAAUAAUGGGCAGCGUUGGGAAGGAGGCCUUCAGGUACACACGGAGCCACCCUGCGGCAAGGCUCCCCUGCCAGAGCUCUCCCCUACUCUCUCUCCAAGCUGCUAGUGAGGUACCAGCUCCCUGCUUGUCCGGCGCUAAAAUGGGGCCAAGAUCGCCGAGGGGCCUGCUAACGUCCCUUCUGUGCGCUAAAUCCCAUGCCUUAUUAUUUCCUGGGGAAUCUUUCACACACCAAGAGGCUCCUACGUCCACCAGCUUCACCUGGUGGUGUCCAUUUCCCGCUGAUUAAGUUCUCCCAUCUCCAGAAUCUGAUCUUCUGCCAUGAUUUCCAGCUUCCCUAGCAUUCUAGUUGCUUUCUGGCUAAUCUCCUCCAGUGAGGCAUCCAGACCAGAGCACAAAGGGGAUGGGAGGGAGGAAACAGCUAUUUGCGGAGCACCUACAAUGAGCCAGAUAGUGUGCUAAGUGCUUUACAACUAUUAUCUCAGUGGAUCCUCUCAUCGUCCUAGGAGAGAGGGGCUAUUAUCGUCUCUACUUUACAGAAAAGGAAACUGAGGCAGAAAGAGGCUAAGUGACUUGCCCAAAGUCACACGGGUAGGAAGUGUCUGAGACCACAUUUGCACACAGGUCUUUCUGAUCCUAGGCCCAGCACUCUAAUCUACUGUGAUACCCAAUGGCUUGGGCAGAGAGCCUAGGACCAUUGUUCUAACCAUUAACUCUUGUGUUCUGGAUGAUAUAUUUCUACUAACCUCAACGGCAGUAGCAGUUGUCCUUCUAGGCAUCAGACUACAAAGACAAUCCACUGGGUGCUUUUUGUCCAUGGGGAUGGAAGCCUGAGGCCCCACAUGAACUACGUUCGAGCGAUGCCAUUUUCUCCCUCCCUGACAUCAAUUAUUUGAGCCCAAGCAGAGGCCCUCUCCAUUUAUCUCCAUUAAAAUGUCAUCUAGCUUGCUUCCUUCCAUACACCUUUCCACUCUCCAAAUAUUAUUUUUGGCACUCAACAUUAUUAUUCCUCCAUCAUCCCCAAAUUAGAUAAAUAAACCAUCCAUGAGGUCAUGCUACACCUUCCAGGAUCAAACAUCAAUCCCUUUGGCAAGUACAAUUCUUCACAAUCUGGUCCUCUCCUUCCUUUCUGGUCCCCCUUGCUCUCUACAAACCCCGUGAGCCAGCUAACUGGCUCUACUGUCCUACUGGCAGGUUCUGGUUUCUCAGACAAACUCCAUCUCCCCUCUCCAAGUCUUUGUUCCCCUGCCAUUUAAGUCCAGAAUGCUCUUUGCUCUCAGUCUAACGCUUGGAAUCCCUGCCUUCUUUUAAGGCUUGGCUCACACUCUACCUUCUUUUUAUAUGAUACGUUUUAAAACAUUGGUAUUUGGAAUAUUUUGUCAUGGUUACAUGAUCCAUGAUGCUCCCCCUCCUUCCCCUCCCAAAGGCAAUAAGUAGUUCUACUAGGUUAUACAGGUAUCAUUGUUCAAAACCUAUUUCGAUGCGACUCAUAUUUGCAGUAGAGCGAUCCUCUAACAUCAAACCCUAAUCACAUCCCUGUGGCAUGACGUGGUUGAUCAUAUGUUUUUCUUCUGUGUUUCUGCUCCCACAGUUCUUUCUCUGGAUGUGGACAGCGUUCUUUCUCAUAAGUCCCUCAGAAUCGUCCUGAAUCAGGGGCAACUGGGUAGCUCCGUGGAUUCAGAGUCAGACCCAGAGACAGGAGGUCCUGGGUUCAAAUCUGGAUCCAGACACUUGCCAGCUGUGUGACCCUGGGCAAGUCACUUAACCCCCACUGCCCACCCUUACCACUUGUCUGCCUUGGAGCCAAUACCCAGUACUGAUUCGAAGAUGGAAGGGAACACAGUGACUCAUAGGGGGGAAAAAACAAACUCAGGGUGGAAGGAGCCUGUAUCUGAGACACAAACAGAUUUCCUUCUCCAGCUGCAUUCCAGCAUGGAGCUGGCUCUCUGCAUGAAGCUACUUGUCAAGGAUAGCAGCCAGCUCUGUACGCAGGCAGGUCUGCAGCACCCCCUUGUUGGAGGCACCAAACAGGAAGGACGGCGACGGGUUCAAUACUGUUUCGUGUAAAUUGCGCUCUUGUGCUCACCUCCCGGAGAAGGACCACAGCUGUGGGAGGGACCGGCGGGAUGUAGAUGGGUGCACACACCAGCCGUCCCACUGGGGAGAAAAUCCAUCCAUUAUUCCGUACAGAAACAGGAAAAGCACCACACUCCCGAGCCAGCCUGCCGCGGGGAAGUCACAACAAGAGUGCGUCAGGAGUCUGGCAGGUCAGAGAUACAGGAAAGCAUCACGCUGGAAAGACUUUCAUGGACUGAUGCAGAGUGAAAUAAGCAGAACAGGGAAACGUUGCAUAAGGUGUGGAGCAAUCAAAUGUGACAGACUUGGCUACUCUCAGCAGUGCAAUGAUCCAGGACAUUUCGGAAGGCCUUCUGACAAAGAAUGCUCUCCAUCUCCAGAGGAAGAACUCUGGGAGUCGGUGCAGAUGAAAGCAGCCGAUUUAUCACUUGCUUAUUUGGGUUUGUUUUGGGGUUCUGUUUACUUACAAAAAUAAACACUAUAGAUUAAAAAAAUAAAAUUUAAAAAUAAACAAAACUACACAUUAAAAAAAAUCUAUUUUUUAUCCUCACAACAACUCUGGGAGGUAGGCGUUACUAUUAUUAUUUCCAUUUUACAAAAGAGGACCCUGAAACAAAAGUCAAGUGACUUGUUCAGGGUCUCACAGCCAGGAGGUAUCUGAACUUGAGUCUUCUAUUCAUUACACCCACUUGUUGUUUCCCUCAGGUCAGGGAAGCUCGGGCUUAAGCUUUGCCUACAACAUGUGAGCUGUGAGACCACAAUCACAAGUCAAGAUCAAAACUAGUAAGUACAGAGAUUUUGCUAAUCUGCAUUCUUAGAGGGAAUUUCCACACUGGGAGCAUCUUGGACUGAUGAACCCCCUGUCCAGUCUUCACUCCUAUCAGAAAUUAAAAUCAUGGAAAGGAAUGUUCAGGGCAUUCAUAUUCCAGAAACUAAUCAUGAUUUUUAAAAAUUAACAAACACAACAAAUGUAACAAAAUAAAAAUUAAGACAAAGUAGGAGCUCCUACACCGUUUUCUCUGACUUGACA
Long non-coding RNA from Monodelphis domestica (gray short-tailed opossum), 3874 nucleotides. RefSeq lists it as uncharacterized. Lineage: Eukaryota; Metazoa; Chordata; Mammalia; Didelphimorphia; Didelphidae. The record is from RefSeq and is a predicted model, not a curated record.